AGUUGCGGCGGCUAUGCGCGGGCACGCUUCGGCGUGGUCGAGUUUUGCUCUAAGGGUCUCGAUAUUCCUACCCCGUGCAUAGCUGCCACCCUA
RNAcentral lists this non-coding RNA (93 nucleotides) under Pseudomonas umsongensis. RNAcentral also lists the same sequence under 5 other names. The record is from RNAcentral. Lineage: Bacteria; Pseudomonadati; Pseudomonadota; Gammaproteobacteria; Pseudomonadales; Pseudomonadaceae.